RNAcentral lists this long non-coding RNA (1842 nucleotides) under Setaria viridis. RNAcentral's name for it is "long non-coding RNA (SVIR_LNC006926)". The record is from RNAcentral. Lineage: Eukaryota; Viridiplantae; Streptophyta; Magnoliopsida; Poales; Poaceae.
GCAUUCGGGUGCCGAAAUGCACCCAUUUUGCAUCAUUUUUCGUUCCGGAACCGAAUGCUCAAAAACACUCCCAAACAUGUUCUAGGGUAUAAUUAGGAAUAUUGCAUGCGUUCGUUGCGAAAAAAUCCACCCGAGUUUCGCUACCUGGCAAUAUGCAUUCGGGUGCCGAAAUGCACCCGUUUUGCAUCAUUUUUCGUUCCGGAACCGAAUGCUCAAAAACACUCCCAAACAUGUUUUAGGGUAUAAUUAGGAAGAUUGCAUGCGUUCGUUGCGAAAAAAUCCACUCGAGUUUCGCUACCCGGCAAUAUGCAAUCGGGUGCCGAAAUGCACCCGUUUUGCAUCAUUUUUCGUUCCGGAACCGAAUGCUCAAAAACACUCCCAAACAUGUUCUAGGGUAUAAUUAGGAAGAUUGCAUGCGUUCGUUGCGAAAAAAUCCACCCGAGUUUCGCUACCCGGCAAUAUGCAAUCGGGUGCCGAAAUGCACCCGUUUUGCAUCAUUUUUCGUUCCGGAACCGAAUGCUAAAAAACACUCCCAAACAUGUUCUAGGGUAUAAUUAUGAAGAUUGCAUGCGUUCGUUGCGAAAAAAUCCACCCGAGUUUCGCUACCCGGCAAUAUGCAUUCGGGUACCGAAAUGCACCCGUAUUGCAUCAUUUUUCGUUCCGGAACCGAAUGCUCAAAAACACUACCAAACAUGUUCUAGGGUAUAAUUAUGAAGAUUGCAUGCGUUCGUUGCGAAAAAAUCUAAUCGAGUUUCGCUACACGGAAAAAGUGCAUUCGGGUGCCGAAAUGCACCCGUUUUGCAUCAUUUUUCGUUCCGGAACCGAAUGCUCAAAAACACUCCCAAACAUGUUCUAGGGUAUAAUUAUGAAGAUUGCAUGCGUUCGUUGCGAAAAAAUCCACCCGAGUUUCGCUACACGGAAAAAGUGCAUUCGGGUGCCGAAAUGCACCCGUUUUGCAUCAUUUUUCGUUCCGGAACCGAAUGCUCAAAAACACUCCCAAACAUGUUUUAGGGUAUAAUUAGGAAGAUUGCAUGCGUUCGUUGCGAAAAAAUCCACUCGAGUUUCGCUACCCGGCAAUAUGCAUUCGGGUGCCGAAAUGCACCCGUUUUGCAUCAUUUUUCAUUCCGGAACCGAAUGCUCAAAAACACUCCCAAACAUGUUCUAGGGUAUAAUUAUGAAGAUUGCAUGCGUUCGUUGCGAAAAAAUCCACCCGAGUUUCGCUACCCGGCAAUAUGCAUUCGGGUACCGAAAUGCACCCGUUUUGCAUCAUUUUUCGUUCCGGAACCGAAUGCUAAAAAACACUCCCAAACAUGUUCUAGGGUAUAAUUAUGAAGAUUGCAUGCGUUCGUUGCGAAAAAAUCCACCCGAGUUUCGCUACCCGGCAAUAUGCAUUCGGGUGCCGAAAUGCACCCGUUUUGCAUCAUUUUUCGUUCCGGAACCGAAUACUCAAAAACAAACUCCCAAACAUGUUCUAGUGUAUAGUUAGGAAGAUUGGAUGCGUUCGUUGCGAGAAAAUCCACCCGAGUUUCGCUACCCGGAAAUAGUGCAUUCGGGUGCCGAAAUGCACCCAUUUUGCAUCAUUUUUCGUUCCGGAACCGAAUGCUCAAAAACACUCCCAAACAUGUUCUAGGGUAUAAUUAGGAAUAUUGCAUGCGUUCGUUGCGAAAAAAUCCACCCGAGUUUCGCUACCCGGCAAUAUGCAUUCGGGUGCCGAAAUGCACCCGUUUUGCAUCAUUUUUCGUUCCGGAACCGAAUGCUCAAAAACACUCCCAAACAUGUUCUAGGGUAUAAUUAGGAAGAUUGCAUGCGUUCGUUGCGAAAAUAUCCACCCGAGUUUCGCUA